CCUACGGGUGGCAGCAGUGGGGGAUAUUGCUCAAUGGGGGAAACCCUGACGCAGCGACGCCGCGUGGGGGAUGGAGGUUUUCGGCUCGUAAACCCCUUUUGGCAGGGAAGAAGAUGACGGUAUCUGACCACCAAUCCCCGGCUAACGCCGUCCCAGCAGCCGCGGUAAUACGGAGGGUGCAAGCGGUAGUCGGAAUCACUGGGCGUAAAGGGCGCGUAGACGGGAUUGCAAGUCAGGUGUGAAAGCCUGUGGCUCAACCCUAGAACUGCAUUUGAAACUGGGAGUCUGGAGUACGGGAGAGGUAGGUGGAAUUCGUGGUGUAGCGGUGAAAUGCGUAGAUAUCAAGAGGAACACCGAUGGCGAAGGCGGCCUGCUAGACUGUAACUGACGUUGAUGCGCGAAAGCGUGGGGAGCAAACAGGAUUAGAUACCCUUGUAGUC
Molecule: ribosomal RNA, 440 nt
Filed under: uncultured bacterium
Lineage: Bacteria
Description: partial 16S ribosomal RNA
Rfam family: Bacterial small subunit ribosomal RNA
Source: RNAcentral